AACGAACGCUGGCGGCAUGCCUAACACAUGCAAGUCGAACGAGACCUUCGGGUCUAGUGGCGCACGGGUGCGUAACGCGUGGGAACCUGCCCUUAGGUUCGGAAUAACUCCCCGAAAGGGGUGCUAAUACCGGAUAAUGUCUUCGGACCAAAGAUUUAUCGCCUUUGGAUGGGCCCGCGUUGGAUUAGCUGGUUGGUAGGGUAAAAGCCUACCAAGGCGACGAUCCAUAGCUGGUCUGAGAGGAUGAUCAGCCACACUGGGACUGAGACACGGCCCAGACUACUACGGGAGGCAGCAGUGGGGAAUAUUGGAAAAUGGGAGAAAGCAUGAUCCAGCAAUGCCGCGUGAGUGAUGAAGGCCUUAGGGUUGUAAAGCUCUUUUACACGGGAUGAUAAUGACAGUACCGGGAGAAUAAGCUCCGGCUAACUCCGUG
Molecule: ribosomal RNA, 433 nt
Filed under: uncultured bacterium
Lineage: Bacteria
Description: partial 16S ribosomal RNA
Rfam family: Bacterial small subunit ribosomal RNA
Source: RNAcentral